RNAcentral lists this ribosomal RNA (458 nucleotides) under uncultured bacterium. RNAcentral's name for it is "partial 16S ribosomal RNA". It matches the Rfam family "Bacterial small subunit ribosomal RNA", at positions 338 to 795 of the family's 1533-position model. The record is from RNAcentral.
CCUACGGGCGGCAGCAGUGGGGAAUAUUGCACAAUGGGGGAAACCCUGAUGCAGCGACGCCGCGUGAGUGAAGAAGUAUUUCGGUAUGUAAAGCUCUAUCAGCAGGGAAGAAAUAGCGACCUUUGGGUCGCCAGACGGUACCUGACUAAGAAGCCCCGGCUAACUACGUGCCAGCAGCCGCGGUAAUACGUAGGGGGCAAGCGUUAUCCGGAUUUACUGGGUGUAAAGGGAGCGCAGGCGGCGCGGUAAGUCUGAUGUGAAAGCCCGGGGCUCAACCCCGGGACUGCAUUGGAAACUGUCGUGCUGGAGUGUCGGAGGGGCAAGUGGAAUUCCUAGUGUAGCGGUGAAAUGCGUAGAUAUUAGGAGGAACACCAGUGGCGAAGGCGGCCUGCUGGACAGUAACUGACGUUGAGGCUCGAAAGCGUGGGGAGCAAACAGGAUUAGAUACCCGAGUAGUC